UACGGAGGGGGCUAGCGUUGUUCGGAAUUACUGGGCGUAAAGCGCACGUAGGCGGACUACUAAGUCAGGGGUGAAAUCCCGGGGCUCAACCCCGGAACUGCCUUUGAUACUGAUAGUCUCGAGUCCGGAAGAGGUGAGUGGAAUUCCGAGUGUAGAGGUGAAAUUCGUAGAUAUUCGGAGGAACACCAGUGGCGAAGGCGGCUCACUGGUCCGGUACUGACGCUGAGGUGCGAAAGCGUGGGGAGCAAACAGG
Molecule: ribosomal RNA, 253 nt
Filed under: uncultured bacterium
Lineage: Bacteria
Description: partial 16S ribosomal RNA
Rfam family: Bacterial small subunit ribosomal RNA
Source: RNAcentral